This 513-nucleotide ribosomal RNA is filed under the name uncultured bacterium. Its description in RNAcentral is "partial 16S ribosomal RNA". It matches the Rfam family "Bacterial small subunit ribosomal RNA", at positions 28 to 523 of the family's 1533-position model. The record is from RNAcentral.
GAUGAACGCUGGCGGCGUGCCUAAUACAUGCAAGUCGAGCGAACAGAUAAGGAGCUUGCUCCUUUGACGUUAGCGGCGGACGGGUGAGUAACACGUGGGUAACCUACCUAUAAGACUGGAAUAACUCCGGGAAACCGGAGCUAAUGCCGGAUAACAUUUAGAACCGCAUGGUUCUAAAGUAAAAGAUGGUUUUGCUAUCACUUAUAGAUGGACCCGCGCCGUAUUAGCUAGUUGGUAAGGUAAUGGCUUACCAAGGCAACGACACGUAGCCGACCUGAGAGGGUGAUCGGCCACACUAGAACUGAGACACGGUCCAGACUCCUACGGGAGGCAGCAGUAGGGAAUCUUCCGCAAUGGGCGAAAGCCUGACGGAGCAACGCCGCGUGAGUGAUGAAGGGUUUCGGCUCGUAAAACUCUGUUAUUAGGGAAGAACAAACGUGUAAGUAACUGUGCACGUCUUGACGGUACCUAAUCAGAAAGCCACGGCUAACUACGUGCCAGCCGCCGCAGUAA